This 460-nucleotide ribosomal RNA is filed under the name uncultured bacterium. Its description in RNAcentral is "partial 16S ribosomal RNA". It matches the Rfam family "Bacterial small subunit ribosomal RNA", at positions 338 to 795 of the family's 1533-position model. The record is from RNAcentral.
CCUACGGGUGGCAGCAGUGAGGAAUAUUGGUCAAUGGCCGGAAGGCUGAACCAGCCAUGCCGCGUGAAGGUCAGUGCCCUAUGGGCGUUAAACUUCUUUUGUGCGGGAGCAAUAAUGGUCACGUGUGGCCAGACGAGAGUACCGUACGAAUAAGCAUCGGCUAACUCCGUUCCAGCAGCCGCGGUAAUACGGGGGAUGCAAGCGUUAUCCGGAUUUAUUGGGUUUAAAGGGUGCGUAGGCUGUGAGGUAAGUCAGCGGUGAAAUGCCCCCGCUCAACGGGGUGAAGUGCCAUUGAUACUGCCUGGCUGGAAUGCGGAUGCCGUGGGAGGAAUGUGUGGUGUAGCGGUGAAAUGCAUAGAUAUCACACAGAACACCGAUUGCGAAGGCAUCUCACGAAGCCGCGAUUGACGCUGAUGCACGAAAGCGUGGGUAUCAAACAGGAUUAGAUACCCGAGUAGUC